Molecule: ribosomal RNA, 437 nt
Filed under: uncultured bacterium
Lineage: Bacteria
Description: partial 16S ribosomal RNA
Rfam family: Bacterial small subunit ribosomal RNA
Source: RNAcentral
AGCGAACGCUGGCGGCAGGCUUAACACAUGCAAGUCGAGCGGGCAUCCUUGUGGUGUCAGCGGCAGACGGGUGAGUAACGCGUGGGAACGUGCCCUUCGGUUCGGAAUAACUCAGGGAAACUUGAGCUAAUACCGGAUAAGUGCGAGAGCAGAAAGGUUUAUCUGCCGAAGGAUCGGCCCGCGUCUGAUUAGCUAGUUGGUGAGGUUACGGCUCACCAAGGCGACGAUCAGUAGCUGGUCUGAGAGGAUGAUCAGCCACACUGGGACUGAGACACGGCCCAGACUCCUACGGGAGGCAGCAGUGGGGAAUAUUGGACAAUGGGGGCAACCCUGAUCCAGCCAUGCCGCGUGAGUGAUGACGGCCUUAGGGUUGUAAAGCUCUUUUCUCCGGGACGAUAAUGACGGUACCGGAGGAAUAAGCCCCGGCUAACUUCGUG